This 510-nucleotide ribosomal RNA is filed under the name uncultured bacterium. Its description in RNAcentral is "partial 16S ribosomal RNA". It matches the Rfam family "Bacterial small subunit ribosomal RNA", at positions 28 to 507 of the family's 1533-position model. The record is from RNAcentral.
GACGAACGCUGGCGGCGUGCUUAACACAUGCAAGUCGAACGAAGGGCGAUGGAAGCUUGCUUCUAUCAAUCUUAGUGGCGAACGGGUGAGUAACGCGUAAUCAACCUGCCCUUCAGAGGGGGACAACAGUUGGAAACGACUGCUAAUACCGCAUACGAUCUAAUCUCGGCAUCGAGGAUAGAUGAAAGGUGGCCUCUACAUGUAAGCUAUCACUGAAGGAGGGGAUUGCGUCUGAUUAGCUAGUUGGAGGGGUAACGGCCCACCAAGGCGAUGAUCAGUAGCCGGUCUGAGAGGAUGAACGGCCACAUUGGGACUGAGACACGGCCCAGACUCCUACGGGAGGCAGCAGUGGGGAAUCUUCCGCAAUGGACGAAAGUCUGACGGAGCAACGCCGCGUGAGUGAUGACGGCCUUCGGGUUGUAAAACUCUGUUAAUCGGGACGAAAGGCCUUCUUGCGAAUAGUGAGAAGGAUUGACGGUACCGGAAUAGAAAGCCACGGCUAACUACGUG